Molecule: ribosomal RNA, 289 nt
Filed under: uncultured Actinomycetes bacterium
Lineage: Bacteria; Bacillati; Actinomycetota; Actinomycetes
Description: uncultured actinobacterium partial 16S ribosomal RNA
Source: RNAcentral
CUACAAGGGUUUCUAAUCCUGUUCGCUCCCCACGCUUUCGCGUCUCAGCGUCAGUACCGUCCCAGAGAGCCGCCUUCGCCACGGGUGUUCUUCCCGAUAUCUGCGCAUUUCACCGCUACACCGGGAAUUCCACUCUCCUCUUCCGGACUCUAGCCAUACGGUUUCAACCGACGUCUCGAGGUUGAGCCUCGAGUUUUCACAGCUGACCUGAAUGGCCGCCUACACGCUCUUUACGCCCAAUAAAUCCGGACAACGCUUGCCCCCUACGUAUUACCGCGGCUGCUGGCAC